GGGUUGUGAGGUUAAGCGACUAAGCGUACACGGUGGAUGCCCUGGCAGUCAGAGGCGAUGAAGGACGUGCUAAUCUGCGAUAAGCGUCGGUAAGGUGAUAUGAACCGUUGUAA
This 113-nucleotide ribosomal RNA is filed under the name Shigella sonnei. RNAcentral's name for it is "partial 23S ribosomal RNA". It matches the Rfam family "Bacterial large subunit ribosomal RNA", at positions 1 to 103 of the family's 2925-position model. The record is from RNAcentral. Lineage: Bacteria; Pseudomonadati; Pseudomonadota; Gammaproteobacteria; Enterobacterales; Enterobacteriaceae.